UGGCGGCAGGCUUAACACAUGCAAGUCGAACGGGCACCUUCGGGUGUCAGUGGCAGACGGGUGAGUAACACGUGGGAACGUACCCUUCGGUUCGGAAUAACUCAGGGAAACUUGAGCUAAUACCGGAUACGCCCUUUUGGGGAAAGGUUUACUGCCGAAGGAUCGGCCCGCGUCUGAUUAGCUUGUUGGUGGGGUAACGGCCUACCAAGGCGACGAUCAGUAGCUGGUCUGAGAGGAUGAUCAGCCACACUGGGACUGAGACACGGCCCAGACUCCUACGGGAGGCAGCAGUGGGGAAUAUUGGACAAUGGGCGCAAGCCUGAUCCAGCCAUGCCGCGUGAGUGAUGAAGGCCUUAGGGUUGUAAAGCUCUUUUGUCCGGGACGAUAAUGACGGUACCGGAAGAAUAAGCCCCGGCUAACUUCGUGCCAGCAGCCGCGGUAAUACGAAGGGGCUAGCGUGCUCGGAAUCACUGGGCGUAAAGGGCGCGUAGGCGGCCGAUUAAGUCGGGGGUGAAAGCCUGUGGCUCAACCACAGAAUUGCCUCGAUACUGGGUUGGGCUGAGACCGG
This 568-nucleotide ribosomal RNA is filed under the name Methylorubrum extorquens. RNAcentral describes it as "bacterial SSU rRNA". It matches the Rfam family "Bacterial small subunit ribosomal RNA", at positions 37 to 651 of the family's 1533-position model. The record is from RNAcentral. Lineage: Bacteria; Pseudomonadati; Pseudomonadota; Alphaproteobacteria; Hyphomicrobiales; Methylobacteriaceae.